CGUUCAGGUGAUCGCUGCAUGUACCCAUGCAGAGGAAAGUCCAUGCUCGCACAGCCUGAGACGGCUGUAGUGUUCGUGUCUGACGAAACCAUAAGUCAGAGCAGCUCCGUUUCGGGGCUGACGGCGGGGAAACAGCCUGUGUCCCACCGGAUAUGGCUGGAGUCCCCUGAACAGUGCCACAGUGACGUAGUCCGGCGGGAAACGGCCGGAGUGGAACGCGGUAAACCCCUCGAGCGAGAAACCCAAAAUUAGGUAGGGGCGCCUUUCGGAAGGAAUACAACGGAACGAAAGGGCAGAAGUUUUCUGCAGAUAGAUGAUUACCACCCGAGUGCAAGGUGAACAGCCGCUGGCAGCACAAGGGAACAGAACAUGGCUUACACGA
RNAcentral lists this RNase P RNA (382 nucleotides) under Marinococcus halophilus. Its description in RNAcentral is "RNase P RNA component class B". It matches the Rfam family "Bacterial RNase P class B". From Rfam's summary of the family: Ribonuclease P (RNase P) is a ubiquitous endoribonuclease, found in archaea, bacteria and eukarya as well as chloroplasts and mitochondria. The record is from RNAcentral. RNAcentral also lists the same sequence under 1 other name. Lineage: Bacteria; Bacillati; Bacillota; Bacilli; Caryophanales; Bacillaceae.